RNAcentral lists this ribosomal RNA (254 nucleotides) under uncultured bacterium. Its description in RNAcentral is "partial 16S ribosomal RNA". It matches the Rfam family "Bacterial small subunit ribosomal RNA", at positions 524 to 776 of the family's 1533-position model. The record is from RNAcentral.
UACGGGGGGAGCAAGCGUUGUUCGGAUUUACUGGGCGUAAAGGGCGCGUAGGCGGUCAGCACAAGUCAGUUGUGAAAUCUCCGAGCUUAACUCGGAAAGGUCAACUGAUACUGUGCGACUAGAGUGCGGAAGGGGCAACUGGAAUUCUCGGUGUAGCGGUGAAAUGCGUAGAUAUCAGGAGGAACACCGGUGGCGAAGGCGGCUAUCUGGACAGAGUCUGACGCUGAUGCGCGAAAGCUAGGGGAGCAAACAGG